This 246-nucleotide ribosomal RNA is filed under the name uncultured bacterium. Its description in RNAcentral is "partial 16S ribosomal RNA". It matches the Rfam family "Bacterial small subunit ribosomal RNA", at positions 523 to 769 of the family's 1533-position model. The record is from RNAcentral.
AUACGUAGGGGGCAAGCGUUAUCCGGAAUUACUGGGCGUAAAGGGUGCGUAGGCGGUUUAUCAAGUCAGGGGUGAAAGGCUACGGCUCAACCGUAGUAAGCUCUUGAAACUGGGAAACUUGAGUGCAGGAGAGGAAAGUGGAAUUCCUAGUGUAGCGGUGAAAUGCGUAGAUAUUAGGAGGAACACCAGUAGCGAAGGCGGCUUUCUGGACUGUAACUGACACUGAGGCACGAAAGCGUGGGGAGC